Molecule: ribosomal RNA, 1323 nt
Filed under: Triticum aestivum (bread wheat)
Lineage: Eukaryota; Viridiplantae; Streptophyta; Magnoliopsida; Poales; Poaceae
Description: partial small subunit ribosomal RNA
Source: RNAcentral
AUGGUGCAGAUAGAAGAGCUUGCAGUUAUGGUGCAAAAGAGUAAGCAUCUAGUGGUGUUUACCGGAGCAGGAAUAUCAACUUCAUCAGGCAUACCUGAUUUCCGAGGCCCAAAGGGUGUGUGGACUCUGCAGCGUGCAGGAAAAGGUGUUCCUGAUGCUUCACUCCCAUUUCACCGAGCUGCUCCAACCUUGACUCAUAUGGCAUUAGUUGAAUUGGAAAGAGCAGGUCUCCUAAAGUUUGUCAUAAGCCAGAAUGUUGACAGCCUACAUUUGCGUUCUGGCUUCCCAAGGGAGAAGCUGGCUGAAUUGCAUGGAAAUUCUUUCAAGGAGGUCUGCCCAUGCUGUAAAAUGGAGUACCUUCGUGAUUUUGAAAUAGAGACAAUAGGACUGAAGGAUACUCCAAGGCGUUGUACAGACAAGAACUGUGGAGCUAGAUUAAAAGAUACAGUUCUUGAUUGGGAGGAUGCGUUACCCCCUGAGGAGAUGAAUUCUGCCGAGGAGCAGUGUCGAACAGCUGAUCUUGUCCUAUGUCUAGGAACUAGCUUGCAGAUUACUCCUGCAUGUAAUAUGCCUCUGUUGUCAAUCAAGAAUGGGGGAAAGGUUGCUAUUGUUAAUCUUCAGGCAACUCCGAAAGAUAAAAAGGCAAGCCUUGUCAUCCAUGGGCUUGUGGAUAAGGUCAUUGCUGGAGUGAUGUGCAUUCUGAGUUUGCGCAUUCCUCCAUAUAUACGUACUGACUUCAUUCAACUUCUUCUUCGGCACACAGUGAAAAAGAAAUGUGUAAGAUGGACUCUGCGAGUAACUAGCGUUCAUGGCAUGCGAGCACCAUUGUCAUUUCUUCGGUCAAUCGAGGUUUCCUUUCCAGACAGAUCUGACAUGAAGCCUGUAGUGCUUAUGGAGCAACCGUUUUCUUUGCAGAGGGAAACAUCAAUGACUAGCAUAUUUUCCAUGUUGCUGACAUUGAACUUCAGUGAUGGUUGUGGCUGCUCAAGCUCGUCAAUUGAAUGCCAUGUUAAUUUCCAGAAGCAAAAGGAGAGUUUUGUUAGGGAUAGAAGCCUAGUCCUGCAGGAGUUGAAGUGCACUGCAGAGCGCCAGUCUCGUGCCGGGCAGCAAUCGAUUCUUGAAAGGGAGAGUCUGCCAAGAGCCGAGACAUCUAUAUACGCGUUUGUGACCAACAUUAUCAGGUACGACGCUGCAGAUCUCAAGGUGGCUGAUCCUAAGGGUAGUUGGAUGAACAGCGGCAGCAGUACCAGCAGCAACCUUGCAAAACGGCUCGUGGAAGGUGCUAGUGGCUACUCCGCCUCGACAAAGAAGCUAAAGUGCUAG